The sequence is a regulatory RNA element, 37 nucleotides long. It matches the Rfam family "L31-Actinobacteria ribosomal protein leader". The record is from Rfam.
CUGGCCCCGGUUCACGGCGGACCACGACCCGGCGGCC